RNAcentral lists this ribosomal RNA (253 nucleotides) under uncultured bacterium. Its description in RNAcentral is "partial 16S ribosomal RNA". It matches the Rfam family "Bacterial small subunit ribosomal RNA", at positions 524 to 776 of the family's 1533-position model. The record is from RNAcentral.
UACGGGGGGGGCAAGCGUUGUUCGGAAUUACUGGGCGUAAAGGGCUCGUAGGCGGCCAACUAAGUCAGACGUGAAAUCCCUCGGCUUAACCGGGGAACUGCGUCUGAUACUGGAUGGCUUGAGGUUGGGAGAGGGAUGCGGAAUUCCAGGUGUAGCGGUGAAAUGCGUAGAUAUCUGGAGGAACACCGGUGGCGAAGGCGGCAUCCUGGACCAAUUCUGACGCUGAGACGCGAAAGCGUGGGGAGCGAACAGG